GGGGGGGGCGUAGUUCUAACAAUAGUGUUCUCUAGUGGAUACAUUAAAAUCAUAUUCAGCUAAUUAAUAUUUGAUUAAGUUUUGCAUGCUAUACCGAUUUGAUAAACAUUCACAAAAUCACAGGCUUCAAGAUUUUUCUUAACACAUCCAAAGUACACAGGCAUUAAAUGGGCAAAACUAAAUAUCAAACUGACUUUAUUUAAUAGUUUCUCUACUGUUCUCUUUUGUUUUAUGUCAAGAGUUGAAUGCCACUGUUCUGUAUUUUUAAUUAUUUAUUGUUUGCUAUUGUGAGAAUUCAAAGCCAGAACUUUGAGGAGCUGACAGAGGCACUGUGGCCUAUGAAGACAGUUUUUGGAGUUAACAAUUUCCUUGGUAACUAUGGACUAUGUCUCCACACUUCAGCUCUCAUAUCUGAUGGAAUAAACUCCUUUCCAGGAGGCUUCUACUUAUGCUAAUGCACCCAAGCAAACAAGGAGGCUAAUAGAACCAGCUGUUUCUGUCUUUAUAGCAAUUUCCCAACAUUCUACACUUGAGGAUUUCUUCUGUCACAUGAUUUUUUUCAUUGGGCAUUCUUUCAAUCCUUCAUUAAAUGGCCGAGACUUCUCACUAGACCCCAACUCAAUGAAAUUCUUAAGCUGCUAGCAUUGAACAACACUGACUUUUUCAAAGCACCUUGAUAGGGAAUUUAAGCUGGACCAUCUGAAGCAGGAAAGUCUGUUGUUUUGAUGGAAUUUCCUAAUGGUACCAUUGUGGCUUUAUUUUGCCUUGUUAAUGUAAGGGAUUCAAAGCAUUUCAACUUACUACUCAUAGUUCAAGCAUCUAUUUUGCAGAUGCACUGAAAAUUAAGAGAUUGGAGAGUUUGUCAUAUAUAUUUCCAUCAUCAACUAUUCUAGUUCUUACUAAAGAAGGAGGGUGCAAAAAUUUGAAGGAUAUGUUAAAGUGCCUUCUAUACUUAAUGAUUCUUCUAGAAAAGGCAAAGUGUUGAUCUUGUUCUUUGUUAUGGUAUUAUAUCUUCUCAUGGUAAUUUGAAAGAAGUUUACAUACCAAUUUCAGUUUGUUUACCUAGGCCUUGAGAGUCAUUCUACAGUACACGAUUAGGCUACUAUGAAGACAAAAGAAAUCAUUGUGGGGAAACUCAGUACAGCUCUAGAUUUACCUUUUAUAAUAGAUGAAUCCCAGAAUGAUAAAGAUCAAGCCUGGCAUGAUGUUAAUUUAGUGGGCUAGGAUCCUGGAAACCUCCUAAAAUAGGACAUCCCAUGCAUUUGGCCUUAGCCAGUGAGGCAUCUCUGAGAAAGUGUAGAAAAACUUGCAAGGAGGUUCAGUGCUCUGAAAGACACAGAGUCAAAUGUACAUGUAAUUCCAGUUCUUCUUUUAUAUAUGUGUACUUUACAUAGUCCCUGAAGUAUCGAGAGGCUCAGGUAUAGGUGCUACCACCUUGAUAGAGUUCACUUAGCCAAAAUGCAGAAAUGGAUGCCCAGAGAGAAUAGAUUACUUGUCCUGCAUCCUGUAACUUAAAAUGUGUUAAUAAUCAUCAUAAUAAAUUCUAUCUGCCAAAUA
RNAcentral lists this long non-coding RNA (1557 nucleotides) under Mus musculus (house mouse). Its description in RNAcentral is "predicted gene, 57137". Lineage: Eukaryota; Metazoa; Chordata; Mammalia; Rodentia; Muridae. The record is from RNAcentral.